RNAcentral lists this transfer RNA (86 nucleotides) under Kiritimatiellia bacterium. RNAcentral's name for it is "Kiritimatiellae bacterium (gut metagenome) tRNA-Leu". It matches the Rfam family "tRNA". From Rfam's summary of the family: Transfer RNA (tRNA) molecules are approximately 80 nucleotides in length. Their secondary structure includes four short double-helical elements and three loops (D, anti-codon, and T loops). The record is from RNAcentral. Lineage: Bacteria; Pseudomonadati; Kiritimatiellota; Kiritimatiellia.
GCAUCCGUGGUGAAAUGGCAGACACGCAAGCUUCAGGUGCUUGUCUCGGCAACGGGGUGAAGGUUCAAGUCCUUUCGGAUGCACCA